Homo sapiens (human) is the source of this 554-nucleotide long non-coding RNA. NCBI's taxonomy places the organism in Eukaryota, Metazoa, Chordata, Mammalia, Primates, Hominidae. The record is from Ensembl.
ACUGAAAAAAAUUGACUUGUAUGAGAAGAACGGAGACAGAAGGCUUGGUGGGUUAACAUUGUCUUGCUGGAGACUAAAAAGCAACCCUAUGGUGGAGGAAUUGGAAAAUAUCACAAAGAAGGUAGAAAAGGUCCUGCUCAGGCAAGUGUGGCCCAGUGCCUGCUUUCCAGCUCAGGCCUCCGGGGUGCUAGAGAAAGAGGGGCAGGGACUGCAUCAGUGGGGCUGAGUCUUGGCUGCUGUAUGGGAAGCCAGUGAGAGAAGAAGGCCUGGUUAGAAGGAAGAGUUGGAGACAUAACUGAACACCACAACCAUCAGGGCAGCCCAGAGGAGGGCAAGGUGUCCAACUAAUGUUACUGUCAGAUAAAUGAGAAUCUACAAGAACCACAGAAAAACAAAGAUUAACAUGACCCAGAAAUAGCUGGCAGGAGAGUUUGAAAGCUCAGCUUUAGAGAAACUGAACAGAAGUGGUUCCUGAUUUGAAUAAAAUUGAAGUUGGUGAUUAGUGUGGCCAGGGAAGAAAGAAACUUAAGAGUGACCACAGUUUGUGGGUUUUG